GUCGAACGGGAAAGUGGAGCAAUCCAUGAGUACAGUGGCGUACGGGUGAGUAACACGUGGGUGAUCUACCUUUUAGUGGGGAAUAACCCUGGGAAACCGGGGCUAAUACCGCAUAAGCCCGAGAGGGGAAAGUCGCAAGACGCUGAAAGAGGAGCCCGCGGCCGAUUAGCUAGUUGGCAGGGUAAGAGCCUACCAAGGCAGAGAUCGGUAGCCGGCCUGAGAGGGCACACGGCCACACUGGCACUGAAACACGGGCCAGACUCCUACGGGAGGCAGCAGUGGGGAAUCUUGCACAAUGGGGGCAACCCUGAUGCAGCGACGCCGCGUGAGCGAUGAAGCCCUUCGGGGUGUAAAGCUCUUUCGGCAGGGAAGAUGAUGACGGUACCUGCAGAAGCAGCUGCGGCUAACUACGUGCCAGCAGCCGCGGUAAUACGUAGGCAGCGAGCGUUGUUCGGAGUUACUGGGCGUAAAGGGUGUGUAGGCGGUUCUUUAAGUUUGGUGUGAAAUCUCCCGGCUCAACCGGGAGGGUGCGCCGAAAACUGAGGGACUAGAGUACGGGAGAGGAAAGUGGAAUUCCUGGUGUAGCGGUGAAAUGCGUAGAUAUCAGGAGGAACACCGGUGGUGUAGACGGCUUUCUGGACCGUAACUGACGCUGAGACACGAAAGCGUGGGUAGCAAACAGGAUUAGAUACCCUGGUAGUCCACGCCCUAAACGAUGCAUAUUUGGUGUGGGCAGUUCAUUCUGUCCGUGCCGGAGCUAACGCGUUAAAUAUGCCGCCUGGGGAGUACAGUCGCAAGGCUGAAACUCAAAGGAAU
RNAcentral lists this ribosomal RNA (816 nucleotides) under uncultured Bacillota bacterium. Its description in RNAcentral is "bacterial SSU rRNA". It matches the Rfam family "Bacterial small subunit ribosomal RNA", at positions 61 to 910 of the family's 1533-position model. Lineage: Bacteria; Bacillati; Bacillota. The record is from RNAcentral.